Molecule: long non-coding RNA, 735 nt
Filed under: Numida meleagris (helmeted guineafowl)
Lineage: Eukaryota; Metazoa; Chordata; Aves; Galliformes; Numididae
Description: lncRNA (ENSNMEG00000000989.1)
Source: RNAcentral
UUUGACCAUCCCUUUUACUUGCAGGUUCAUCUUCAAGCAGCAGAAGCUGUGGUUGGACUGGUCCCUGGUCCUGCUGAUUGCGACAGCUGUGCUCAUCACCUACUCAGCUGUGCUGCUGGUGAGCCCUGCCGAUUGCCCCUGGGUUGGCAGGGGUAUGGAUCAGUGCUGGGCAUGAGCCAGCUGGAGCCUGAAGACCCUGUCCUUGCUUUGUGCUUGCAGAUUUGUGGCCAGCCCUUGAAGCUGCACUGGUUGCACAAGAUCCUGCUGAUCAUAACUGCCCUCGUGGUGGCUGCAGCCUUCACAGGGCUGGGAAUAAAGUGGGCGGAGGAGUGGAGAAGUGCACGCAUCUCCCUGCAGGUGAGUUGGCUUGUCACCAGGGACUUCCCUACUGUCCUAUUGUGGAGGCUUGUGGGGAUGAGAUGCAGGAUGGUGCCUCGGCUUCCCAGCAUGGUUGCGUGCCAUGGGGGCUAAGCCUUAUUCUAGCUUGGUCUGUGCAGUCCUGCCUGGAGCAGCUGCAGUCAGGGUGGUGGGACUAGAGGGGUACCUUGUCCUUCUCUCCCUGGCAUUGUGGCUGUUCCAGUGGUGCUGGCUGUAGUGGUAGGUCCCUGCUAUUGGAUUUUGAGGGCAGGGGCUGGGCUUGUGCUGUCUGACACCCUGCCUUUGCCUUCCCAGGCAACAGGUCCUUUCCUGCACAUUGGAAUUGUGGGAGGGAUGACGCUCCUCGCCUGGCCAUUG